Molecule: long non-coding RNA, 852 nt
Organism: Phalaenopsis equestris
Lineage: Eukaryota; Viridiplantae; Streptophyta; Magnoliopsida; Asparagales; Orchidaceae
Exons: 4
Source: RefSeq, a predicted model, not a curated record
AAACUCCGUGAGUGGCCAUCUCGUCUGGUAUUCCCUGCAUUUGACAAGCUCCUUCCCGUGAGUGGCCAUCACGAUUACAGAAAAACCUAUGAUCAUAUCAGCUCCAGAGUUCAUUCUGAAUCAAUAUGGAUGGAUCUCAUUGAAGCUUUUGAAGUCCAGGGAGGUGAUUUUAGAGUCUCCCAACUAAGGAUUGCAAAGCUAGGGAUGUGAGUUUUUGAAGUAUCUCUUUUUCCUGGAGUUUGUUUAAAGACCUUUAUUCUCCUUGAGUUUGAUCCACAAGUUUCAAAAAUUAUUAAUAAGGUGACUGGACUACAAAAUGGGGAAGAUGCGUAGAUAUUCCAUGCUCCAAUCUAGCAUUUUCAUCAAAAUCUUGUGCAGGUUCGUUAGCUCUUUUCGUUGAUAUGAAGAAUUAUGUUGAAGGAAUUAGAAAGCAGUUCUUUGCAUAAAGCUGCGAAGCUCCGCUCUUUCUGGGGGCGAUUUACCUGCGGCGUCGUCAAAGUUGUUCUAGAAGCAUGCGAUGGGUUCUUAUUGAUAUACAGGACAUUUGAUGGGGCAUAGCAAAAUUCAAUCCUCAAAUCUACUAGAAAUUGAAUUUUGGACCUUGUGAUGAUUGUAAAAAUGUCUAGAGACUUUGGGGAGAGUAGAGAGUGAUAAAGACACUAAAAAUUAUUUAUGUUUUAUGUUUAUUUUCUGGUAUUUCAUGGAUGGUUGAAAUUUUUUUGAUUUUGUAGCGGGCGUUGCAUACCUGAGAAUUUGAACAUGGAUCGGCUCCAGAACUUAAAGAAAAACUAUCGGUUUCACUUAUCCUUAACCUGCAAACAGUUCCAGUUCUUUAUUUGAUGUGUUCUUAUG